Non-coding RNA from Bemisia tabaci, 2190 nucleotides. NCBI's taxonomy places the organism in Eukaryota, Metazoa, Arthropoda, Insecta, Hemiptera, Aleyrodidae. The record is from RefSeq and is a predicted model, not a curated record.
UCAUUAUAGUAUAUUAUAAUUUAUUAUAUUAUAUUUAUUAUAUUAGGUAAAGAGCAGUCUUGUGACGUCCUUACCAGUUUGCAAAAUAGGCCGCGAUAUUCAAAUUUUAGCCAAAUGUAAGGACCGGGAACGAUAUGGAAGUUGGAACAUGUUUCAACUUAAUUGCAACAAGUUCCAACAAUGAUAGCUCCUUCGGGGGAAAGAGUAGGCAAUCUCCACGUCAAUCUAUCAGUUGCAAGAAUUCAACGAUUUUGUUACAAGUUGUUGCAACCUCUGCUACUUGGGAUACUUGGCUUCAAAUUACAGCCGAAACUGGAUGCUUUUAAAUUACAAUGAAAUUUAAUUAGGAUUUUAUUUUUAAUCACAGGUGAAAUCUAUCUGCCCAAAGCAUGUAAAAACAUAAAAGGCUCAAUAUUUUGUAACUGCCCACUUCAAAAUCCGUUAGCUGUCCCAUCAGUGAACAUUACGGUCUGUGAUAUCAGUUGACGGAUUCAGUUGCAUGAGGCAGCCUGGGUCAGUCCAUUUAAGAUUUUAUUUUGCUGUUACCGCUACUUUUUUCACAAAACCAAACCAGUGGCAUGGUGUUUUGUACAUCAUUCCUCAUGAAAAUUUUGCGCUGAAUCCGAAUCCGUGCUUAAAUUGCAGGAAUUUUCUUUUUUUAUAGCUCAAAUUUGAUCUGAAAUGCUGAAUUUGUCAUUACCGUAACCUGUUACCGGUCGAAAGUCUCAACUUUAUCGCUGAAUUCAAGCAAAUAUAUACAAAGUCACGGGCUUCUGAAAUCAAAUAUGGCUUCAGCAUACUUUGAAUUGAUAAUUCUUUCUUUUUAGAGCUAUAUUUUCCUCUAAGUUUUCGAAAAAAUUGGCAUCUCGUGCUUGUUACUGGAUUUGGUGUCAUUACCGUAACCCCUUGUUCUGGAGCAAACUUCGGCUGCUAGGCGACAGCACCAGCUCGAACUUACAUUCGUUGAUGUUUGUGUUGGAAGUAGGACCCAUGACGAAAAAUGUCAACCCCAUACGAGAAAUGAUUUCAGAACUUACAAAAAAAACUGAAAUAAGUCAGUCAGUUUAAAUCAGUACAAGAAAAUGGCCCAUCAGAUACCACCAGCAGUACCGUCGCGUCCUGCCCAGAAAGUACAUCAAUACGAUCCUGUUAUGUUCGAUGAGAUGAAAAUGAAUCAACGCACUUUACGGAAUUAUAGAUUUAUUCAUCUUUAAUCACGAACAAGCCAAUCCGGCAGCAGCUGAUAACAGAUAACAGAUAACCUCUCUUGGAUCACCUUCACCUUGCGCAUGCGCACUAUCCUCUCAGGUGUGGCAUUACAGUCAUUGCCAACCUGACUGCACUAAUACUAUAUUUCACUAUUCCAACAGAUCCGAGAUAGUCUUAUACUAUUUAUUGCUAGUUUUGCUAGUUAAAAGUUCUAUUUUCUCUUGACUAUUAUUAUGAUUAUUUUGUUUGAAGAUCUCACUAGAGAUAUUUUUGUUUACGUUACCUACAUUUCUUCUCAAAGAAAUUUUCUCUUUUGCAUAUAGGUGGUUAAAUAAAGUCCUAUUUUUCCUCUAUUAUAAUUAUUUUGUUUAGUGAUCUCAUUAGAGAUACUCAUUUAAUGUGAAAUUGGUUGAUGUCUACCAUUUCUUGGACGAUUUAUUUAUUUCAAAUGAUUUGGUUUGGUCAUUUUUUCGAAUUUUUGUACUGCUUUAAUACAACGUUUCUUUAGAAAUCAGUGCUUUUUUCCUUCAGCCUUGAGAUCCUACCCCAUAAGGCCGUCAUGCAUAACAAUAAAUCAUUACCGCAUACUUACAGUCAUUACCGCUACUAUUUAUCAUUACCGUAACCGGCUUAUUUUCCUUGAAAAAAAAAUUGGAAAAAAAGCUGUAAAUUUACAAUUUAAGGGGAAAUUACAAAAUAUAAGUUUAGCUCUUUAUAGAAAAGUCUUUACAUGCAACCUAAUCCUUUUCUCUCAAAUGUAGGGCAAUUUAGAACUCAAAAGAAACAAAAAAUUCCGAAUUUGACAACGAAAUUUGUUUAAAUAAAAGUUUUAAUCAUAACUUAUCCAAAUAUUUGUAUUUAUUUCGAACUAUCAGACUUUAAACUAAACAAAAAAAAUAAAAAAGAUCAGUUUCCACUUCUUUUGCGUGUGCUGGACUAACAAAAUAAAUAGGUUACGGUAAUGAUGAGUUUUUUCAAAAA